RNAcentral lists this ribosomal RNA (253 nucleotides) under uncultured bacterium. RNAcentral describes it as "partial 16S ribosomal RNA". It matches the Rfam family "Bacterial small subunit ribosomal RNA", at positions 524 to 776 of the family's 1533-position model. The record is from RNAcentral.
UACGUAGGUGGCAAGCGUUAUCCGGAAUUAUUGGGCGUAAAGCGCGCGUAGGCGGUUUCUUAAGUCUGAUGUGAAAGCCCACGGCUCAACCGUGGAGGGUCAUUAGAAACUGGGAAACUUGAGUGCAGAAGAGGAAAGUGGAAUUCCACGUGUAGCGGUGAAAUGCGUAGAGAUGUGGAGGAACACCUGUGGCGAAGGCGGCUUUCUGGUCUGUAACUGACGCUGAGGCGCGAAAGCGUGGGGAGCAAACAGG